This is a non-coding RNA of Arachis ipaensis, 220 nucleotides long. The record is from RefSeq and is a predicted model, not a curated record. Lineage: Eukaryota; Viridiplantae; Streptophyta; Magnoliopsida; Fabales; Fabaceae.
UACUCCCCAACCAAGAGGGACUGCUGGAUGGCAACGAGGACUGCUGUUCGGCGACGGGGAAGAACGGCUCAGACAGAGAUCGACGACGGCGAGACGAUGGCGUGAAGACAGCUCUCUGCAACGCCCAUGAUGGAGAUCGACGACAUCCUUCACGUCGACUUGACGUCGGCGCUCUCAGCUCUCUGGCUCUCUCAAGCUCUCAUUCUCUUAGGGUCUCAGG